GGUCUGGCUGCUCAUGGAGAAGGGGUAAGAGUUCAUGCGUGAUUUGAUUAGAAGAGAGGGAGAGGUUGACAAAGCCGAUCGUCUUCGUUCUAUCUUCUCCGCCAAUAAAUGUUGCGGAAAAUUUUAUUCGGUUUCAAGUCGUGCGAUUUGUUUUGAGCAAUUUGUGCAGGCAGUGUUUUCGUCAAUAAGAAAGGAUGCUGCGGAUCUUUCGAUCGUCAUAGGGAUCGGCUCAGGAUAUGCCUUCAAAUACCGUUACUACAUUAACCUUCACGACGACCAUGUUCCGGACAUAAAUGGGGACGACACUGGAGCAUUUCUUUGCCUGGUUCAGCUGGGCAAUAUGUACGUGAUGCAUUGCGCUCGUUCAUGUUUUUAUUGCACCUAACACUAUCGCACUGAGCGGUCGGGAUGGGCCUCCGGCUCGAAGGGAUCAUCGAGUACAAACACCAAAUGGUUGGCCCUUGUACACUUUUUCACCUUAUAUAAAGAACUUUGUAGUAAGGAAGCUCCUCACUCCUCUUCAAACCUCUGAAACGGUAUACAAUCGACACCAACAGGAGAUCGACUACACUGUGUGAACCAUCUUGUCCAGUGCAACCAGGCAACAAAACAUUCCUCUUCAGCAACAGCACCAUCAUAAUCCGUGCUAGAAGCAACUCCAACUUGUUGUCGGGAGACUAAAAGAUGCAAAAUUGAUUUAAAAAAAAAAGCAAACAAAUUUGUGUAGAAUGAUGAUUGAUCAAACUUACUGUUAAUGGAAGGCACUUUAUACACAGAAGGACGGCAGGAAGAACUGAACGGAAAAAGAACACCCAAUGCUGAUUGCUGACAAGCCGCCGGUAACGUAAUGACCAAUUUGGAAUCCGUGAUCGAGCAGAGUCAGUGUUUAAGGCCAAGCACGUCUCCGGCAUAUGAUAUGCAUUCUCCGAUACCCAUGGCCAGGUUCUCCUACGAGAUACAGCGUGGGCUCACCCGCUAACUGUAAAUGCACAAUCCGUUGAUAUCCUCCUCACCUCAUAGUUAUCGUGAUCCUUUUCCCGCUCCGUCUUCCGUGCCAACACCUCCCAACGUUCACCAUGGCGCUGCAGAACUAAAAGGCAAAAAACUAUAAGCCAGAUAUCUGGGAUAAAAGCAUAUAAUUAUAUUUACCUGAUUAGAUGCACUCAUCGACUUUGUAGAGCAAACAGAUUUUUGAAUCUGAAAAAUAAGAAAAGUUCAACCAAUACAAGCCAUUCCAGUGUCUAGUACGACUGUAGCAUUGCUUUUUUUUUCUUCUUAACUACACCAUGAUCUGCUACGCGCAAGCGUACCACGCUCCAAUUUAUAUUACGUGUACUUCAUUCCUGCUCUGAGCAAGUCUGGUGGUUCAGUCUUCAGGCUGUGGUAUACAUGCACACGGCAUUCUGUUUCUAAUCUUACUCUUACUCACCCGUUUCAGCACAAUGAAAAAGUUUCACACGCACAGAUCACAGCUGAUAAACAACACACUCGACGCCCACCCCCUCCCUCCAACCUUGCAGCGAAAGUUCCGUUGUUACACACAAACAUAAUACCACCACACAACGCGAAGAGUCUACGGACAUGUAGAGAAGCAAAGCAAAAUCAAGAGAGAAAAGAGCAAAUACAGGAAUAGAGGAACUCCCGAAAACACAUGACGAGACACGACAAUACACAAUAUAUUGACAAAAAGUUA
This is a long non-coding RNA of Anopheles stephensi (Asian malaria mosquito), 1693 nucleotides long. RefSeq lists it as uncharacterized. The record is from RefSeq and is a predicted model, not a curated record. The transcript has 2 exons. NCBI's taxonomy places the organism in Eukaryota, Metazoa, Arthropoda, Insecta, Diptera, Culicidae.